AUCAUUUUGUAAAGUUUAAAUUAUCAAAUCAAUAUGUCGUACAUCUGAAACUCACACGAUAUUGUAAAUCAAUUACAUGUCAAUUAAAAAGCAUGCACAAAGAAAGCAGGAGGAAAUUAAUAAAAAAUAAACAAUAAAAUGGUGAAUUAAAGCCAGAAAAACCAUAGAUUUAACUAGUAAACAUAAGGAUGAAGAGUGUGAGGAGGAUAACAUUACUUACCACGUCCUGAGAUUCUCUUCAAAAAUCUCUAAAAUACUCUUCCUCCUCAAAUCUCCAAGAUUCUCCUUUCUCCCAUUUAUACAAAAUGUAAAAUUUUGCUUAGAAAUAAUACAUGUUCCUAAAAUGUAUUCUUAUUUCUAAAAUGGAUAAAGCGCUCUUAGAAUUCAGCUCAGCCAAAUUAAUGUCACCAGACUCAUACUAGAUAUGAAGGACUGGCAUUCAAAGAGGAGAAGGUCACUGUUCUCCUGUAGUUCAGUCUAAUAGGGAAGAGAGAGCUGUACGGAGAAAUGCACUUUUAGGGUAGCAGCAUUAGAUAAUGGAGUUAAGGAAACAAUAAUAAUAAUUUAUUAUUUUCCUAUUGCAGAAAGACAAUCUACUCUACUCAAGACAAUUUACUAAACAAGCUUUAGCCAGGAAGAACAAAAACUGAAGUGACACGAUUUGAAUUACAAUUGUGUAUUAAUAAUAAAAUUUUACAAAAAAAGAAAAAAAAUAUUGUAAAACAUAUGACAUAUCACUUAAUUUUGUUGUGCCUCAGCUCUCUCAUCUCAGAAACUAGGAGAAUGACUGUACUCACAGUACUGAGCUCACAAGCUUUCUGCUACAAGAUGAAUGCUCAUGAAUACACCUUUUGAAUGCUGACAUUCUUUUUCCAUAUUUGAGUGAUAUGCUAAGAGUCGAUGUCUAUUCCCAAACUCUUUAGGUGGGUUUUACUGAUAAUUAUAAUUAUUGCUAUGUACUUAAACUUAUUAAUAUCUGAAUAAACUAAAAUUGUAAGUGGGAGAAAUAGAAUUG
Molecule: long non-coding RNA, 1015 nt
Filed under: Bos indicus x Bos taurus (hybrid cattle)
Lineage: Eukaryota; Metazoa; Chordata; Mammalia; Artiodactyla; Bovidae
Description: lncRNA (ENSBIXG00005022831.1)
Source: RNAcentral